UGGGAUUCCUAGCCAGUCCUCAAUACUGUCCCAUCUCCUCGCUUUACUUUUCUCAUCCAGGAAACCAAGAUAACAACAGAAUCUACUCCCAGCAGUGUUGUGAGGAUUCGGAGCAUUGGGUCAGGGAAAGCCCAUUGCUGAGUGCCUGGCAUGUGGGCAACUGUGGGUGGAAGAACAUGCUUCCUCUCAUCACUGUGCCCCCAUCUGAGAG
RNAcentral lists this non-coding RNA (211 nucleotides) under Pan troglodytes (chimpanzee). Lineage: Eukaryota; Metazoa; Chordata; Mammalia; Primates; Hominidae. The record is from RNAcentral.